CGUCAAAUAUUACACGUAAUUAAACGUGGUUUGUGGUUAUGGAAGAUGAAUUACUGUAAUUGGGACAAAGUAUGUGAGUGAAACCAAAAAUGUGCACAGCAAGACAAGACAAAGCACCGCCCAAGGCGUAAAGAAGAAAUGAUGUCCCUUCCUCCCACCUUCUACAGUUUGUUGGUCGGAAUUGGACGGUGUAAAUUGACCUCGUGAGGAAGCGUUUGACGAUGUUGCGUGCGUGAUGCGCAAAAAAAGACGGGCGCACCCAUUAUCAAGGCGUACCCACUGGUGUGUGGUGAAGUGACAGUCAUGAACAUGCAUUAAUCUCGGCCCAUUGCGGCCCACCAGUGCCGGAGCAAACCCAUUAUGCCCCUUCUCGCGUCGCGCUUGCCUUAAAUGGCGCGCAGUGGUGGGGGCAGGUCGUUCCAGCAUCGGGACGCCGCGAAACGAAAGGAACCCCGAAAUGCAACAGUGCGGUGCUUGGGCGUGGCAAAGAUGUGAGUGCACAACCUCCUGGGAUAUCUACCCUGAACCUGAGCCCACUCCAACUUGUCAAGGAGAUACUUUGGCUUUAAAUUGGACAGUAUACCAAACAUCAUUGUGGCCAGGUGAAGUCUCCGACGAGCAGCCAUCUUUAGCAAAUUUGCUGAGUUUAAAAAGGGGGUAACGUGUGUUCUAGGAGGUAUCGUGAAGCAAAAGCGCGCACAUGCAUUUUGAACUCUCUGAAUGAGACGAACAGAUCUAGUCAACAGGCAAGGGCCAUAAACUGUAUCACAAUAAUUAAGUUUGCUUAGUAUAAGUGACUCGCAUAGAGAGGUUCUAAGGCUUUCAGUUAUGUAUGGUCUCAGCUUAUACAGAAGCUUCAGCCGGUAAAAACAAGUUCUGGCACACUCGAGCACGUGACUCUCAAACCUAAGUUUACUGUCAACAAUCAGACCCAGAUUACGUGCUUCCAAAACCCGCUCCAUUUGCUCUCCGUUUAUUGCAAUGUUGAGUUGAAUAUCUUUGAGUUUUUCCAACCCUUUGGGUGAGCCUGUCAGCAUGAAUUUGGAUUUUCUGGGAUUAAGCACGAGGCAGUUGGAAGUGCACCAGAUGGAGAUUCUACUCAGCUGAUUAUUGACUUUGGAUAUGGCAGCAGCAAAGUCUGAUGGUGGGAACGAUAUGUAUAGUUGUAGGUCGUCAGCGUAGAGGUGGUAGUGGCAGUCAGUAAUGUGGUUAAUUAUGUCCGCGCUGUAUAAAAUAUAUAGAAUUGGGCCUAGGAUGGAUCCCUGGGGGACUCCGCGGGUGACUGGUUUGCGUUGUGAUAUAAAUACGGUACCGUCUGUUUUUUUUAGCUCCACAUACUGCUGUCUCUGCGUCAGGUAGCUGUGAAACCAUUGCACUGAAGUUCUGUCAAGACCGUAGAAACUCAAUUUUGACAGCAGUAGA
Long non-coding RNA from Ostrinia nubilalis (European corn borer), 1422 nucleotides. RefSeq lists it as uncharacterized. The transcript is spliced from 3 exons. The record is from RefSeq and is a predicted model, not a curated record. NCBI's taxonomy places the organism in Eukaryota, Metazoa, Arthropoda, Insecta, Lepidoptera, Crambidae.